CUCGUAGGCGGUUUGUCGCGUCGGGAGUGAAAACACUGGGCUUAACUCAGUGCCUGCUUCCGAUACAGGCAGACUAGAGGUAUGCAGGGGAGAACGGAAUUCCUGGUGUAGCGGUGAAAUGCGCAGAUAUCAGGAGGAACACCGGUGGCGAAGGCGGUUCUCUGGGCGAUUACCUGACGCUGAGGAGCGAAAGUGUGGGGAGCGAACA
RNAcentral lists this ribosomal RNA (208 nucleotides) under uncultured bacterium. Its description in RNAcentral is "partial 16S ribosomal RNA". It matches the Rfam family "Bacterial small subunit ribosomal RNA", at positions 568 to 774 of the family's 1533-position model. The record is from RNAcentral.